ACGACGACUCAGUCGCGAACCAGACAUGAUACCUUUCACGUCAAUUCCGUUCUCGGGCAAUUGUUGGAUCGUCGUACGCCAUGUCCGCAGUGGAUCGACGCCGCUCUAACGUACUAGCUACUCGCCUGGGAGAUGAGACCGUCUAAACCCUUGUUUACAUAUUGAUUUUUAAAAAAAUUUAAGCGUAAAAUUUUGAAGGGAAAAAUUCAAUUGCAAUGGUGUCGAUCGACACCGAUCCUCUCGAUCUCGUAGGGCUUUUCAAUAAGGGGCGAAUGAGAUGGCGAGAAUAAAAUUUUAAAACGCGUUCCUUUUUUAAUUGGAAACGACAGUUGGUGAGGAGGUGCACGCAGAAAUUCGUCGGUAAUUAAUUAAUCCUCGACCGACGAAUUUCAAUAAAAAUGAGCUAUCCCGGGGGGUGGCUAUCGGUCCUGGGGUACGCGACGAUUUAAAAGUGGCCGUACCGAGCAAAGAUACCGUGUAGAGGGGAUAUUGAUCGAACCUAGGGAAGGGGUUGUUAUCAAGUGGCGCUGCGUUAGGCGCGGGUCAGAACCGUGUCGUUAGAGCGUGCAUACUUAGUGCCAGUGCCAGUAUAGUGCCUGUGCGCCCAGCAAUAGCACUACGUUCAGGUAUGCAAUCCCAUUGCGGACUUUGUGCGGCACUGGGAACUGUCUUCAGAAGACUUAUGUGCAUCGCUCCGUCGAGGAGGGGAUCCCACGAUAGUUAUUACACAAAUAUCGAACGCCAUCAUGGAUCGCCACAACCGUCCUUGGACACAUCAGAUCCAAACGCAGUACUUAUCAGAAUGGAAGAACAUGAUAAAUUUUACUGUGAUUCUAAGCGACUUUCCAAUAGUGAAGUACAGUUAGUGGCAGCGCUUGAUUACCGAGGUUGGAAGACAGGAAAAUUUCUUACAAUUCAUAAAAGACGCCGGAGAAGGCUGACGACACGUUCUCUUCAUGAUACUGCACUUCUUGAUGACCUUCAUCACGGGCAAGUGCAAUGUGUCUUGGACAGGGUUUGGAAAUGGCCUUUUAAUGCCUUUACUUUAGAUACUGCUACAGGUGGUAGAUCACUGCCAGUUUUAUGUGUUCAUCUUUUUCAUUGGUAUGGCCUUAUUGACCAUUUUAACUUAGAUGUUGUUAGAAUAUGGAAAUUUUUUAGUUUAGUAGAAGAGGGUUAUCAUAGUACAAACCCUUACCAUAAUGCAAUACAUGCAACUGAUGUCACUCAAGCAAUGCAUUGCUUUCUCCAAGAAGAAAAGAUUAGGAGAUAUUUAACUUACACAGAGAUUCUGUCAGCGUUAAUAGCUGCUGUGACUCACGAUUUAGACCAUCCAGGUGUUAAUCAGCCUUUCCUUAUUGCAACUUCCAACCAUUUAGCCGCUCUUUAUGAGAACACUUCGGUGCUAGAGAAUCAUCAUUGGAGAUCUGCUAUCGGUUGUUUGCUCGAGAGUCACUUGGCAGAACAAGUAGUGAGUGUCAGGCCGGAACUAGAAAAACAAAUCGCUUCCUUAAUCCUCGCAACAGAUAUUACAAGACAACAAGAAUUUCUAACUAAAUUUAGGAAUUUCCUUGAUGAGGAGAGUCUUGAUAUGAAGAAAAGUGAGGAUCGGCAUUUCAUUCUUCAAAUCGCCCUGAAAUGUGCAGACAUUUCAAAUCCCUGUAGACCAUGGGAUAUCAGCAAAAAAUGGUCACUAAAGGUUUGUGAAGAAUUCUUUAGGCAAGGUGAUUAUGAACGUCAGUUAAAUCUUCCAGUUACUGCACUUUGUGAUAGACAUACUACUUCUGUGCCGAAAAUUCAAGCUGGAUUCUUCAGAUUUGUUGUCGAACCAUUAUAUAAGGAAUGGCAUCGGUUCUUAGACACGCCACUUUCACGGGAUUUAAUGAAGUAUCUAAAAAGCAAUCAGUCAAAAUGGGAGAAUUUGAUUCAACAAGAAAUUGCUGAAGAAACUAGAACAGAAAUAUCGGAGGCUGAAGAAAUACCCGAUGAGGUGGGAAGUAGUAUACAGCAUGUCGAAGAACGUCGUUGUUCUUUAUUAACAGUCCCAAGUAGGACAUUUGAAAAAAGGAGACAUUCAGUGCCUCUUAGUGUUAGUGGAAAAUCAACUAAUGGACAAAAUUCUUCCCGAAGAGAAAGUUUGCCAGAUCCAAGUAGAAAAAGGUUUAGCCCAAUGUUUGAUGAAGAUGACGAGCUUUCUAUUGUCUCUUCCUGUUCUUCCCUGAGGCGUUCUUCAGGUGGAAGUAACACAGAUGACAGACCUGUUAGUUCAGAAGCAUUGUUGCCAGAUGUAUCAAUAGCAUCUAUGACUUCUUCUAGUGAGGUACAGAAACUGACGUCAAUCCUCCAUGGAAACAUAUCCACAUCAUCCUCAUUGCAAGGAAGAUUGACCAGACAGCAAACCUUCCCACCUGUCCAGCCUUACAUAAGGCCGAGGUACCUAUCAGCUACUGGAGAGUUGAGGGGUAGUUCUAGCUCAGACUCGAGUGGAGGUGAACGUUGCCUAGACACUAAACCUUUAUUGGCCAAAGAGAAAGAAAAUGUCGAUCCUGAUGUUACAAAAAUAAUCCGACGAUCAGUCCCGCAGGGAAAUAAAAUUCGAGACGACCCGAAGGGCCGUAACACUGCAAAAAAAGUGGAUUUACUGACAUAGUUGAUAGAACGAGCCCAGACUGUUCCCCUAGAAAAUAAAAACCAUAGUCGUAGAUUUUGAGGGAGGGAAGAUGAGAGAGACGAAUAUCUCGGAGAGUCGAUCAUUCAUCAGGAUUGGCUUUUCUUCUAAAUCCAUCAUUGGGGCGAUAAAAAAAAUUUGUGGAAAAGAAGAGGGUCAGCGCCAGUCGGGCUUCCACCUUGUGAUCCUACUAGUAUUAUACCAAGUUCGAGAAGGGGUUCA
This 2890-nucleotide unclassified non-coding RNA is filed under the name Cimex lectularius (bed bug). RNAcentral describes it as "high affinity cAMP-specific 3',5'-cyclic phosphodiesterase 7A-like, transcript variant X2". Lineage: Eukaryota; Metazoa; Arthropoda; Insecta; Hemiptera; Cimicidae. The record is from RNAcentral.